This 368-nucleotide transfer-messenger RNA is filed under the name Helicobacter trogontum. It matches the Rfam family "transfer-messenger RNA". From Rfam's summary of the family: Bacterial tmRNA, also known as 10Sa RNA or SsrA, is named for its dual tRNA and mRNA-like properties. Its role is to liberate the mRNA from a stalled ribosome. The record is from RNAcentral. Lineage: Bacteria; Pseudomonadati; Campylobacterota; Epsilonproteobacteria; Campylobacterales; Helicobacteraceae. RNAcentral also lists the same sequence under 1 other name.
GGGGCUGUUUUGGCUUUCGACGGAAGUUUUAUAGCAGUUUAAGCAUACCAGCUGAUAUCUGUAACUAUCAACAAACAAUAAACGCAAACAACGCGAAUUACGCUCCAGCUUACGCAAAAGUAGCGUAAGUUUAACCUCCUUUUGGAGCCAGAUUCUUUUAUCUUUAUCGGGAGGUUUUAGAAUCUGUCAUUAAUCCGAUUGCUUGGGUGCUUGUGCCUAGAGGCAUUCAAAAAGAUUAUGGGCUUUUGAUAUAUUCCAUUUUGCAUGUUUUAAGGAAUAUAUCAAGAUAAUAAAACAUUGCUAAGUAUGUAGAAAUCUCUGUGGGAUAGGAUUUUCGGACUGGGGUUCAAUUCCCCACAGCUCCACCA